RNAcentral lists this transfer RNA (79 nucleotides) under Armillaria solidipes. It matches the Rfam family "tRNA". Rfam says of the family: Transfer RNA (tRNA) molecules are approximately 80 nucleotides in length. Their secondary structure includes four short double-helical elements and three loops (D, anti-codon, and T loops). The record is from Rfam by way of RNAcentral. Lineage: Eukaryota; Fungi; Basidiomycota; Agaricomycetes; Agaricales; Physalacriaceae.
UCGGAUAUAGUGUAACGGCUAACAUUGCCGCCUCUCAAGUACUUCGCGGUAGCUCGGGGUUCGAUUCCCCGUAUCCGAA